AAGGUUUCCAACUGGAGCCUAGUCCAUCUUUCGGGU
Molecule: ribosomal RNA, 36 nt
Filed under: Colletotrichum gloeosporioides
Lineage: Eukaryota; Fungi; Ascomycota; Sordariomycetes; Glomerellales; Glomerellaceae
Description: partial 28S ribosomal RNA
Source: RNAcentral